UAUAUUCAGUUGACAGGAUCUACUGGUAUCAAUAGUUUUUAACUCCAACCGAUGAGGCUGGGAAAGUUAGAGAACCUUGACCUGAGUGGCAAUCAAUUUAACGGUAGCGUCCUAUCAAUUCUGAGUGGGCUUUCAUCCCUCAAGUCUUUGGAUCUAUCACAUAACAU
Long non-coding RNA from Populus euphratica (Euphrates poplar), 167 nucleotides. RefSeq lists it as uncharacterized. The record is from RefSeq and is a predicted model, not a curated record. NCBI's taxonomy places the organism in Eukaryota, Viridiplantae, Streptophyta, Magnoliopsida, Malpighiales, Salicaceae. The transcript is spliced from 3 exons.